This 414-nucleotide long non-coding RNA is filed under the name Rattus norvegicus (Norway rat). RNAcentral describes it as "long non-coding RNA NONRATT016770". The record is from RNAcentral. Lineage: Eukaryota; Metazoa; Chordata; Mammalia; Rodentia; Muridae.
CUGUAUUACACCUUCGCUAACAUGGCCAUGCUGAACCAUCUGCGCAGGCAGAGAGGUUUCCACACGUUUGUGCUGAGGCCCCACUGUGGGGAGGCUGGGCCCAUCCACCACCACUCAUCAGCCUCCGGUUCCUCCCCAGUCCACGUGUUCCUUUGUUACCAACUCCCUUGUACCCCCAUGUGAGGGGCAGCUGCCCUGAACCGUCUACAGUUGGAGGCUGCUGGAGUUGGAAGGUGCUGGGACUGUCACUAGCCCUGGAGAUGGCACCUUCUUUGGGGUUUCCAGGUCUUUGACCAGACCCAGUUCCCAGCUCGCCUCCUGUGUUAUGUUCUAGACAAGGUCUUUGCUAUGAAGAACAGUGUUUCAUAUGACCCAUUUUUCCUAGUGCAUGAGAAAUAAAAAGAUUAUUUAAUU